CUGGCAGCCACCACCCAUUUCUGCAGCCAUCCCCUGUCGCUUGGCAGGUGUGGCGCAUGAUGUGCGCAGCAGUUCCCAAGCAGAGUCCUGCCCCCAAAGAUUUUGCUAAAACGACGGGACGAAGAGGAGAUGGCCGCACAAAGGGAGGCCACGGGUUAUUGGAGGGCGCAUGGAGGGAUGCCGGCAGCUGCCCUUGUUCCUAAAACAAGCCUGGAAGUGGCACCCCCCAGUCGUACACAGAUCCAACAUUUCUUCUAACAGUCCCAAUGCCCGGCUCAGUCUGAGUCGAUGCCCCACCUUUGUAGGGGGCAGAGGUGUCAUACAGCAAGAUGAUCUGUUUCAGGGAAGCUCUGGGGCGCUAUCUCCAAGAGCAGGGCUACAUGCCAGUUUCUUGAAGAACCCCCUGAAAGUAUCGUUGUGUGGAGAUGUGAUGGAGAAAGCGCGGUCUUUGGAGAUGAACAGCCCAAGGAAUGUGAGUGGUGUGAAAACGUCUCUCUCGCAUUCUCUCACCUGGACAUGCUGUGCCGAUUCCUCCAAGAAGAAAGGCCGCCAAACAAACAAAACAGCGGGAUUUGUCUGUGAACAAACUGUGAACUGCAACGGAGCGUCUUUCAACCCCCAAAUCCAUCUAAGCACCCAGGCCCAGCAAAGGAUCGAUAGCGCUGAUCAAAAAAAUGAAUAUUUGUUUCAAGGGCUCACAAGUUAUUCCCAAGACGCUGCUUAUUUGGUAACUUAUUCUGUAAACUUCCAGAGGCUGCUCACGCAGCUCGCACAAGGCAUUUACUGUCUGAUCAUUGCUCUGCUUCUUAAAGUCUGCUCCCUGACGCUGCCAUCCUGCGAGCAUUUUCUUCUGUUCCUACAUUUGGCUCAGGUUGAGGCAAGAAAUGUGAAAAGGAACAAAAGUCCGGAUGCUUUGUAUGGGUCACAGAUUGGUUUCCAGUCACUCAGUUUGGAUGCCCAGUGCAACACUGUUGACCCCCAACACAAGAAAAUCAUGACUCAAGUCCCACGGAAAAGUGAGAUUGGCUUAAAACUCAGGGGGCUUUACUUUUCUUUUAACCUUCUGGUUUUGGGGUCCUCACGUGUCAUCUUCGCAGCUACAAGGAGAGGAAAUAUACCUUUUUGUAUAUAAAAAAGAAAGAAAUCUGAGAUUCUUGUAUCAUCGCAUGCUUUCUGGAGCUUUAAGGAAAACACCGAAUAUCAUGAGGGUUUCACGAAAAAUUGC
RNAcentral lists this long non-coding RNA (1225 nucleotides) under Crocodylus porosus (Australian saltwater crocodile). RNAcentral describes it as "lncRNA (ENSCPRG00005011457.1)". The record is from RNAcentral. Lineage: Eukaryota; Metazoa; Chordata; Crocodylia; Crocodylidae.